This 392-nucleotide ribosomal RNA is filed under the name uncultured bacterium. RNAcentral's name for it is "bacterial SSU rRNA". It matches the Rfam family "Bacterial small subunit ribosomal RNA", at positions 28 to 402 of the family's 1533-position model. The record is from RNAcentral.
GACGAACGCUGGCGGCGCGCCUAACACAUGCAAGUCGAGCGGGAAGCUUUUAAGGAUUCUUCGGAGUGAAUUAAAAGUGGAGAGCGGCGGACGGGUGAGUAACGCGUGAGAAACCUGCCCUAUACAGGGGAGUAGCCAUUGGAAACGAUGAUUAAUACCCCAUAUGACCACGAGUAAUCGGCAGUGAUACAGCGGUGAAAACUCCGGUGGUAUAGGAUGGUCUCGCGUCUGAUUAGCUAGUUGGUGGGUAACGGCCUACCAAGGCCGACGAUCAGUAGCCGGCCUGAGAGGUGACCGGCCACACUGGAACUGAGACACGGUCCAGACUCCUACGGGAGGCAGCAGUGGGAAUAUUGCACAAUGGGCGAAAGCCUGAUGCAGCGACGCCGCGU